GCGGCGGACGGGUGAGUAAUGCCUAGGAAUCUGCCUAGUAGUGGGGGAUAACUUGCCGAAAGGUAAGCUAAUACCGCAUACGUCCUACGGGAGAAAGCAGGGGACUCUUCGGAGCCUUGCGCUAUUAGAUGAGCCUAGGUCGGAUUAGUUAGUUGGUGAGGUAAUGGCUCACCAAGACUGCGAUCCGUAACUGGUCUGAGAGGAUGAUCAGUCACACUGGAACUGAGACACGGUCCAGACUCCUACGGGAGGCAGCAGUGGGGAAUAUUGGACAAUGGGGGGAACCCUGAUCCAGCCAUGCCGCGUGUGUGAAGAAGGUCUUAGGAUUGUAAAGCACUUUAAGUUGGGAGGAAGAGCAGUUAACUAAUAUUUGACUGUUUUGACGUUACCGACAGAAUAAGCACCGGCUAACUUCGUGCCAGCAGCCGCGGUAAUACGAAGGGUGCAAGCGUUAAUCGGAAUUACUGGGCGUAAAGCGCGCGUAGGUGGUUCAGUAAGUUAGGAGUGAAAGCCCCGG
Molecule: ribosomal RNA, 517 nt
Filed under: uncultured bacterium
Lineage: Bacteria
Description: bacterial SSU rRNA
Rfam family: Bacterial small subunit ribosomal RNA
Source: RNAcentral